GAUGAACGCUAGCGGCAGGCCUAACACAUGCAAGUCGAGGGGUAACUAGAGUGAUAGCAAUAUUACUUUGGCUAGACCGGCGCACGGGCGCGUAACACGUAUGCAACCUACCUUAUACUGGGGAAUAACUUCGAGAAAUCGGCGCUAAUACCCCAUAACAUUGCGAAGAGGCAUCUCUUUGCAAUUAAAGCUCCGGCGGUAUAAGAUGGGCAUGCGUCCAAUUAGCUAGUUGGUGAGGUAACGGCUCACCAAGGCUACGAUUGGUAGGGGUUCUGAGAGGAUGAUCCCCCACACUGGUACUGGGACACGGACCAGACUCCUACGGGAGGCAGCAGUGAGGAAUAUUGCGCAAUGGACGAAAGUCUGACGCAGCCAUGCCGCGUGCAGGAUGACGGCCCUAUGGGUUGUAAACUGCUUUUGUACGGGAAUAAACCCUUCUACGUGUAGGAGGCUGAAGGUACCGUAAGAAUAAGCACCGGCUAACUCCGUGCCAGCCGCCGGGUAA
Molecule: ribosomal RNA, 505 nt
Filed under: uncultured bacterium
Lineage: Bacteria
Description: partial 16S ribosomal RNA
Rfam family: Bacterial small subunit ribosomal RNA
Source: RNAcentral